This 3520-nucleotide unclassified non-coding RNA is filed under the name Homalodisca vitripennis (glassy-winged sharpshooter). RNAcentral describes it as "retinol dehydrogenase 14-like, transcript variant X2". The record is from RNAcentral. Lineage: Eukaryota; Metazoa; Arthropoda; Insecta; Hemiptera; Cicadellidae.
AACAAUAUAUUAUAAACAAUGAUAAUGGAAAUGUGAGUAUUUAUUACUUUAAGUCCGUGAUUAUUGAGAUGCAGUAUUUAAGUCAGAGUAAAGGAUAAUCUGUAGUCUCUGGUAACAAUAAAUAGUGAGCAGGAGCAGUUUUUCAGAGUAUUUAUUUUUUUCCUUAUUUUUUUUUAUAUGUGUGGUCAAUUUACUUUAAAAUGACUGUGCUGUGGACAUAAAUAUUUAAACUUUUAUUAGGUAAUUUUAACUGGCACAGGACUUCCAAAAGAUUAAAAUAAAUAAAAAGUUAAUUAUUAUUUGACAUAUUUAUAAUUAAGUCUAUUACUUUUUAUGAUGAAGAAGGUUACAUUUCUGCAUGAAAUUAUGAUAGUCGGGUUCGGAUAUAACUGACAGCAGUAACACCAAGAUGUAUAGUGCGCUCAUUUCUUAACUUUGGUCAUCGAGUUACAUACAAAUGUGUUGUGUGCAAUAAAUAACUACACUGGCCAAGAUAUAGUUUUGUGCCAGCAAUGUUAGAGGUGUUUUAUAUGAAUUUAAUGUGCUUAUUUCCGAAUGUUUGUGUUUAGGUUCGACUAGUACUUAGUAGUAAUAAUAGUACUCGUUGCAGACAUAAGUCCCGUAAGAAAUAAAACUUUCGAAUCAUAACAUGUAAUUCAUUUUUAAUUUUGCCGAUAUGAUUCUUCCAAGAAAGAUUAGCGUCUACAAAAAGUCCCAAAUAUUUUAUUUCAUUUACCUGCUGAAUAACUCUACAUUUCCCAGCGGCAAACAUUUUUUAAUGUGAUGUAUUAAUUGCUUUAGAAAGAAUUGUUCUUUAUGUACACCGAAUAUUAUAUAUUUGGUUUUAUCACUUAGCAUUAGAAAAUGUUUGGAAAACCAAAAUUCUAAAUAUCUAAGACCAUCUUCCACGCUUUUUUUGCAGAUAGUCAAGAUUUAAAAUGCAAUGGCUGUAUCAUAAGCAAAAACUAUUACAACAUCAUUACAUCAAUCAUUGAUAUAGACAAGGAAUAUAAUUGGUACCUAUACCGAUCCCCGAGUUUUUUCAUAAUUUUCCAAGAAUUUUAGAAAAUACCGAAAAUAAUGAUAUAGGCCUGUAAUUUCCCAAACAAUUAGUAGCUCCCGUUUAUACAAAAGUAUUACAAUGGCCAUCUUCAAACAGUAUGGAAACUCCCCUUGCUGAAGACUAAAAUUAUAAAGAUAUAUGAGUACGUUUGAAAUGUUUUCCAAAAUCUCCACUACAAAAGAUCUUACAUUAUCAAAAACCCUGGAGCUUUCCCGAUUUUUUAAUUAUGAAAAAAUACUAGUGAUUUCAUCUGAUGUUGUCGGGGUCAUAAAGAAUGAACUAUUAGUGAAUUUGUAUGAAAAAAUAAUUAUAUAGAAAGUGAUUGUAUGGUAAAUUUUUUUAUUGAUAUUGUUUCUCAAUUUAUCGGCUAUUUUGAGAAGGAAGUUAUUGUGAACUCUGAAGAUAUUUUAUGUUCAUUUCAUAAAUGUUCAUUUUAAAAUGUCCAAUUGCAUAUAUUUACUUGACACACUUGUUUUUAGAAGGACCGUUGAUCAAUGCAUUAACCAAAUCCCACUGAGUUCGUGUAUUUCCAGAAUCAGACACAAACAAUUCAGAAUAAUAAUUUUCUUUUCUAGAUGUUAUUUAGUUUUUUAAAUAAUUUCUGUACCGCUUGUAGUAGCUUCGUAGUCUAUAAUUUUCAGUUUAUAACCUCAUUGCUUUGUAACACCUAUUCCUUAUUUUUAUUUUUGAAAAUGGAUAGACAUUUUGCCAGGGAGUAAGUUUUCUGUAGUUUGAUUUUAUUGAACACUGAUGUGUUACUCUGACACUUUCCGCAUGAAUUAUUUUCUAAAAUUCAGAAAAUGCUUCAGAAACAGUAUCUUUAUCGUAUACAACUGAUAUGUACUAUUUAAAAUAUGUUUUAGGUCAAGGAUAUUGAAUCUGGCUUUUGAGAUAGAUUAAUUUUCCAAUCUUAAUUCUUCCGCCUCAAGUUGAAACAUAAUCGGAGAAUUAUUCCUGGUGGUCUCCUAGAACAAAUAUUUCUGAGUAUAGCCUAUGUGUAUUACUUAUAUCUACGUACAGUCCAGAAACUACAAAGAUUAUAUACAUUAUAGAAGAGAGGUCCAUUGUUUUAGUUGCUUACGGAAUGAGUUUGCCUUUCUGCAACAAGACUAUACUAUAAUUGUGUCGGCUACCCUUUAGAUUUCUGACAUAAGAUGGAGAUUUUGGACACUUUUUUGCAAUACCCACUGCUCUCAGUUGUAAUAUUCAUUUGUACUGCUACAUGGCUUUACAGAUAUUUUACUUGCCGUGUCUGUAAAAGCAAAGCAAGAAUGGAUGGGAAAACUGUAAUCAUAACAGGAUGUAAUGCAGGAAUUGGUAAGGCAACAGCUUUCGAUCUUGCGAGGAGGGGGGCCAGAGUGAUAAUGGCUUGUCGGAACAUGGAAAAGGCCACUUUAGUGAGAGACAGCAUCAUUGAGAGCACAAAGAACACAAAUGUUGUAGUGAGACUCCUAGACGUGAGUUUGCUGAGUUCGGUCCGCAAGUUUGCUGAAGAGAUCAACCGUACAGAGAGGAGACUAGACGUGCUGAUACACAAUGCGGGGAUGUCUGAGAUGGGCAGAAACGUUACUAAGGAAGGCCUUCAGCUCGUCUGGGCCACCAACCACUAUGGACCCUUCCUGCUCACUCAUCUGUUAAUAGAUCUACUAAGGAAAACCAGAAACAGCAGAGUUGUAGUUGUUUCAUCAGCCCUACACAGGCGAGGAUGGGUUGACCCAAGAAAUCCAAAUCCAGUGGAGGAAAUAGAUGGAUGGACACUGUAUUACACAACCAAGUUUGCUAACGUGAUCUUUGCAAAUGAGCUAGCUCGGCGAUUAGAAGGAACAGAAGUCACUGUCAACUCUUUACAUCCUGGGUUGAUAUACACAAACAUUUUUAACCCAUGCUCGUACUGGACUCACAUACUCCUAACGCUUAUGAGACCUUAUACAAUGACGGAAGAGCAAGGGGCCCAGACCACUAUACAUCUCGCAGUGUCUGACGAGGUGCAGGGAGUCUCUGGAAAAUAUUUUUCAAACUGUAAGACAGGCCGAAACAAUGUCAAGCCCAAAAACACUGACAGCGAGAGACUGGUUCACUUCCACUACCACGACUCCGUGGAGAAAGUGGGACUCUAGUUCAGUUUUGUUCCGGCGCCGGCUGUUGCGCACUAGAUAGCAGAGGCGGAAACUUCGAUGUGUGUACCGGACGCAAGCGAAACCCUUGCCCCCGUACCCUAUGCACUGUAUCAUCCACCAGCAGGGGGCCAGUUGAUGCCGGAAAUUCCGUGGCCAACUUUCUUCCCCCACUCGUGAUAAAAAAAUUAAAAGUUAGCCACUUCCGAAAUUGUCACUGUUUCGAGUAAAACUGCACACAGGAAACUCCUCUCUGUUUUUUCCAGACAGAAAUGAACUCGUUAACAGUGCUCCAAAAAAAUUCGAAUUUCCCGUUGGAUUAAAUAAUUCUUCUUUAAAAUAA